UUACGAACAAAAUCAUGCAGAUACAAAGUAUUUGCAGGCGAUAUAGACUUAGAAAUACUGAAAAAUAUAUAUCAGGGAGAAAGGUGAACUAUUAAUGUUGUGGGAGAAGUCACGGGAACCGGAAAACGCUGGAAUAAACAUUUCUAGCACGCCGAAGUUAUGCUUUUACAGUGGAAAUAUUGUCCCGAAUGGGGUGUUUAGGGGGAAUUAUUGAACAUCGAGACUGAAUUGUGCUACCACGUGGAAAUCACGUCGCCGCUAUCAGACAAGGAGAUAAAUUUGUUUAAAUAGGUAUUGCAAAAUUCGUUCCAUCGAGACAGACAAGAGAAGCACUUAUCAGAGGAAAAUUCCAACCACGUGGUCGUUGAAGUGGAGUCAACGUUCAACUUCUCGACGUCUAAUUGCAUCAAUGGUGUGUCGAUUUGCCAGAAUCUUCAACGCUGUUCAAAGAAGUGAUGCUGAAUAGAGCAAAAGCUUAACAGAGUGGUCCGCGCAUGUCUGGAAUUGGGUAAAGAAAACCCUAUUUUAAGCAUCCACGACUAGGAAACUGAAGAAAAUGGGAAUGUCCUCAAAAAACUUACUUAAGAGGAAUUAUUUAUACGAAUAAAUUUGAACUGGGAGAUCCCAGAAUCAACAUCCUUGGAAUAUGGGGCGCCGAAUAUCAAGAAAAUACGGCCGUUUUGCGUAAUAUAGUAAACUUGGAAUGAAAAAUAUAUGACAGAGAGAAAGGUGCCCUAUUAAUGUUGUGGAGGAAGUCACGGGAACCGGACAACUCGUUUCAAUUUUAGACGAAACUAAUCACCGGCAACACAUUGAAGCUUGUAAUCCUAGAGGGGCAAAGGAUAAUGAACGACGUCUCACGGGAAGUUAUGAAACUUUUUCCAAUCAUAAUUUUACGUCAGGUUUUGCCAAUGGCAAAGCUAGUGUGAGGAUCCCUCGCGGGUUAUCUUGAAGACAGAAGGCCUUCUUCAAAUUAUGAUCCAUAUUCAGUUUGUGAAGUACUAUUUUGAAAAACUUUACACAGACCCUAAAUGGAGAAAAUAAUCUCUUACGCUUUUCUGUUCUUGAAAAAAAGAAAACGAUUUUUUCAGACACAAAGUGGGAAAAGUGGUGAGGAAGAAAUUCAGCAAUCUAGAAACAUGCGUCGAAAUCGGAGCGGUACCUACGAGGCGAAGAUGUGUAUAUUGUACAGUCAGGCAGCGGCGAAGUCAAUGAUAACCUAAUGGAACUUCUAAUAUGCAUGUAAAAUUAGAUAAUCCCUCCACAAGACGGUAAAAAACGAGAUCGUCAGGACAAUACGAAAACUCCUAGAAAAUUGAGUUGACAUCAGUAGAAAAUGAAUAGAAGAAGCUACAACGUGUUUCUGCAUAAGAAACAGGUGAGGUUAUGGGAAUUUGAAAAUUAUCCCGGUACUAUGUGUAAGUGACCAGAUGAAGAAUAUCGAAAUCUUCUAGUUCUCACUGCGGAAAAACGAUGUGAUAAACCUGAGAAACAACAACCAACUGAACCUCUAUGCAAAAUCGUAUACUAUAACAUGAAAGACAGUGAUUCUGUACUAGAAAACUAAACCUAUGCGAACCUGGAAAACGACUACAGUUGCAGGAUAUAUGUAUGUACCUUCUUGUUCACAAUAUACUAUAUUAUUUUUACGCUGAAUUAGAGAUUUCUUUUUUAAUAAAAACCGAAAAACCGAA
Long non-coding RNA from Zophobas morio, 1694 nucleotides. RefSeq lists it as uncharacterized. The record is from RefSeq and is a predicted model, not a curated record. The transcript is spliced from 4 exons. NCBI's taxonomy places the organism in Eukaryota, Metazoa, Arthropoda, Insecta, Coleoptera, Tenebrionidae.